This 659-nucleotide ribosomal RNA is filed under the name Coolia monotis. RNAcentral's name for it is "eukaryotic LSU rRNA". It matches the Rfam family "Eukaryotic large subunit ribosomal RNA", at positions 43 to 649 of the family's 3401-position model. Lineage: Eukaryota; Dinophyceae; Peridiniales; Ostreopsidaceae. The record is from RNAcentral.
UAAGUAAGUGGUGGAAGAAAAAAUAAACAUGAUUCUUUUAGUAAUGGCGAAUGAACAAAGACAUGGUCAUUUUGAAAAUUGUGGUCUUAGAUCAUGAAUUGUAUUUUCAAAAUGCAUUGCUAACACAACUGCACAUGUUUGUUUAUUGGAAAGAACAUCACAAAGGGUGACAAUCCCAUGUGUCAUGUGUAUGUUUUGUGUACAGCGUGCAUUAUAUGAAUCACAUUCAUUGACAAUUGAAUGCAAAUAGAAUGGUAAAUUUCAUUUAAUCAUAAAUAUGUUGUUGACAACUUAUAGCAAACAAAUACCAUGAGGGAAAUGUGAAAAGGAUUUUGAAAAGAAAAUUAAAAGAGCUUGCAAUUGCUGAACUGAUAAGCAAACAAAACAUACGUGUGUAUGCAAGAUUGUUGUAAUGCUUAGCAUCCUAUGCAAGGCUAUUGCAAUGAUUUUUUGUAUAGUGAUGCUACCUUUUUUUAGAAUUUGGAAUGUCUUUUUUUGAGUGUGAAUGGAAUUUUGUUUGUUAGCAAAGGAAUGCACUUUUAGAUUCAUUGUUUGAUUUGAUUUAAAAAUGUUUGUGACACGUGUCUUUGUUUUAGUUUCAUGCUUCAACCAAGGACAUUGUGUUUGAUCCAUAUCAGCAAUACAUGUUUUGUUUGACC